GUCUCUGGCUUCAGUGCAUUUAAUCGAGGAAAUCUUUCGCCUUUUACCAAAGAUUUCCGUGCACGGAAGCAAUGUAUGAGUAUUCGCCGAUUUUUGCUGGUAGGGGUGUGGUAGACA
RNAcentral lists this small nuclear RNA (117 nucleotides) under Angiostrongylus costaricensis. RNAcentral describes it as "U5 spliceosomal RNA". It matches the Rfam family "U5 spliceosomal RNA". Rfam says of the family: U5 RNA is a component of both types of known spliceosome. The record is from Rfam by way of RNAcentral. Lineage: Eukaryota; Metazoa; Nematoda; Chromadorea; Rhabditida; Metastrongylidae.